Molecule: long non-coding RNA, 1262 nt
Filed under: Apteryx haastii (Great spotted kiwi)
Lineage: Eukaryota; Metazoa; Chordata; Aves; Apterygiformes; Apterygidae
Description: lncRNA (ENSAHAG00000005476.1)
Source: RNAcentral
GGUCACCCCUUGUCACCCCUGGGACCCUCUGGACCCCCUGGGCAUGGUCACCCCAUGUAGGGACCUCCCUGAGCAAGGACACCUGGGCACCCUGGUCACCCCUGGGACCCCCUGGACACCCUGGGCAUGGUCACCCUGUGCAGGGACCUCCCCGUGCAUGAGCACCCGAGCACCCUUGUCACCCUUGGGACCCUCUGGACAUGGUCACCCCGUGCAGGGACCUCCCCAUGCACGAGCACCUGGGCACCCUGGUCACCCCCGGGACCCCUUGGGCACCCUGGGCACGGUCACCCCAUGCAGGGCCCCCCCUAUGCACGAGCACCUGAGCACCCUGGUCACCCCUGGGACCCCCCGGGCACGGUCACCCCAUGCAAGGACACCCGGCUGCCGCCCCGGCGCGGUGUCCCCUCAGCCCCCCGGUUGCCUGCCGCCUCACCUGCCCGGCGCGGUGCCAAGCGGGGGGGAUCAGCGGCCGCCGCCGCUCCUCCACGGCCAAGCGCCGCAGCCGCGCCGGCGUGGGGCUGCCGCCCAGCUCGGCCUCGUAGGCCAGCCGAAACUCGGGCACGGGGCGGCCUGCGGGGCGCGGGGUCAGCGGCAGCCCGGCACCCCGCUGCGGGGGGGGCCGGGGGGGAGGGGGGCACCGGCGGGCGCUCACCGGGGCUCAGCGCCUGGCACCGCGACAGGAUCUCCCAGAGCAGCAGCGCCAGCGCGUAGACGUCGGCUUGCCGCAGCGCCCGGCCCCAGGCCCGCAGGUCCAGGCUCUCGUCCAGGAUCUCGGGCGCCAGGUAGCGCUGGGUGCCCGCCUGCGCGCACCCGCAGCGCUCGCACGGGCACCGAGGGGGCUCGCGCGGGCCCUGCUGCCCUUGCACGGGCGCUGCCGUGCUUGCACAGGCACUGCGGGGCUUGCAUUGGUCCCCCGGUGCUUGCACGGGUGCUGCUGUGCUUGCACGGGCACUGCGGCCCUUGCACGGGCGCUGCCGUGCUUGCACGGGCACUGCUGUGCUUGCACGAGCAUCGUCCAGCUUGCAUUGCUCCUGCAGUGCUUGCACGGGCACCGUGGGGCUUGCACGGGCAUUGCCCAGCUUGCAUUGCUCCUGCUGUGCUUGCACGGGCACUGCGGUGCUUGCACGGGUCCCCCGGUGCUUGCACGGGCAUUGCCCAGCUUGCACGGGCACCGCGGUGCUUGCACGGGUGCCACAGCACUCGCACGGGCGCUGCGGCGCUUGCAGGGGCGUCAGGGCACGGCUCUCGCCAGCGCCUGG